GGGAGUGAAAUAGAACCUGAAACCCUGCACUGACAAGCUGGGGAAGCACAUUUCUUGUGUGACCGCGUACUUUUUGUAGAACGGGCCAACGAGUUACGUUAAGUAGCAAGGUUAAGCACUUAAGGUGCGGAGCCGUAGCGAAAGCGAGUUUUAACUGAGCGUUCAGUUACUUGACGUAGACCCGAAACCGGGCGACCUACCCAUGAGCAGGAGGAAGCGAAAGUAAAAUUUCGUGGAGGUCCGAACCCACGAGCGUUGAAAAGCUCGGGGAUGACUUGUGGGUAGCGGUGAAAUUCCAAUCGAGCCCGGAGAUAGCUGGUUCUCCCCGAAAUAGCUUUAGGGCUAGCCUCAAGGUGAGAGAUACGGAGGUAGAGCACUGAAUGUCCUAGGGGGUAUUGCACCUACCGAAGACGAUCAAACUCCGAAUGCCUUCAUCUUAUACUUGGGAGUCAGACUGUGGGUGAUAAGAUUCAUAGUCGAAAGGGCAACAGCCCAGAUCGUCAGCUAAGGUCCCUAAAUGUAAGUUAAGUGGUAAAGGAUGUGGGAUUGCACAGACAACCAGGAUGUUGGCUUAGAAGCAGCCACUCAUUCAAAGAGUGCGUAAUAGCUCACUGGUCGAGUGAUCCUGCGCCGAAGAUUUCCGGGGCUAAAACUUACUACCGAAGCUACGGCAUCAGUAAUGAUGGGUAGGGGAGCUUCCCAUACGGGUUGAAGCAUGACCGUAAGGACAUGUGGACAGUAUGGGAGUGAGAAUGUUGGCAUGAGUAGCGAGAUGUGGGUGAGAA
Molecule: ribosomal RNA, 785 nt
Filed under: Clostridioides difficile
Lineage: Bacteria; Bacillati; Bacillota; Clostridia; Peptostreptococcales; Peptostreptococcaceae
Description: bacterial LSU rRNA
Rfam family: Bacterial large subunit ribosomal RNA
Source: RNAcentral